AUGCUCGAGGGUCUGCGUACCCGC
Molecule: non-coding RNA, 24 nt
Filed under: Arabidopsis thaliana (thale cress)
Lineage: Eukaryota; Viridiplantae; Streptophyta; Magnoliopsida; Brassicales; Brassicaceae
Source: RNAcentral